UGAGGAAUAUUGGGCAAUGCCCGCAAGGGUGACCCAGCAACGCCGCGUGGAGGAUGAAUGUCGUAAGAUUGUAAACUCCUGUUAGAGGGGAAGAAUAGUACCGGUUGGACCGGUAUAUGACUGUACCCUCAGAGAAAGCCCCGGCUAACUACGUGCCAGCAGCCGCGGUAAUACGUAGGGGGCAAGCGUUGUCCGGAUUUACUGGGUGUAAAGGGCGCGCAGGCGGGAUAAAAAGUCAGUGGUGAAAUCCUACAGCUUAACUGUAGAACUACCUUCGAUACUUUUAUUCUUGAGUUCGGGAGAGAGAGACGGAAUUCCAGGUGUAGUGGUGAAAUACGUAGAUAUCUGGAAGAACACCAGUUGCGAAGGCGGUCUCUUGGUCCGACACUGACGCUGAGGCGCGAAAGCGUGGGGAGCAAACA
Molecule: ribosomal RNA, 422 nt
Filed under: uncultured bacterium
Lineage: Bacteria
Description: bacterial SSU rRNA
Rfam family: Bacterial small subunit ribosomal RNA
Source: RNAcentral